RNAcentral lists this ribosomal RNA (618 nucleotides) under uncultured bacterium. Its description in RNAcentral is "bacterial SSU rRNA". It matches the Rfam family "Bacterial small subunit ribosomal RNA", at positions 169 to 803 of the family's 1533-position model. The record is from RNAcentral.
CCGCAUAAGCCCACGGGUCGGCAUCGACCAGAGGGAAAAGGAGCAAUCCGCUUUGAGAUGGCCUCGCGUCCGAUUAGCUAGUUGGUGAGGUAAUGGCCCACCAAGGCGACGAUCGGUAGCCGGACUGAGAGGUUGAACGGCCACAUUGGGACUGAGACACGGCCCAGACUCCUACGGGAGGCAGCAGUGGGGAAUAUUGCACAAUGGGGGAAACCCUGAUGCAGCGACGCCGCGUGGAGGAAGAAGGUCUUCGGAUUGUAAACUCCUGUUGUUGAGGAAGAUAAUGACGGUACUCAACAAGGAAGUGACGGCUAACUACGUGCCAGCAGCCGCGGUAAAACGUAGGUCACAAGCGUUGUCCGGAAUUACUGGGUGUAAAGGGAGCGCAGGCGGGAAGACAAGUUGGAAGCGAAAUCCAUGGGCUCAACCCAUGAACUGCUUUCAAAACUGUUUUUCUUGAGUAGUGCAGAGGUAGGCGGAAUUCCCGGUGUAGCGGUGGAAUGCGUAGAUAUCGGGAGGAACACCAGUGGCGAAGGCGGCCUACUGGGCACCAACUGACGCUGAGGCUCGAAAGUGUGGGUAGCAAACAGGAUUAGAUACCCUGGUAGUCCACACCGU